Molecule: ribosomal RNA, 253 nt
Filed under: uncultured bacterium
Lineage: Bacteria
Description: partial 16S ribosomal RNA
Rfam family: Bacterial small subunit ribosomal RNA
Source: RNAcentral
UACAGAGGGGGCAAGCGUUAUUCGGAAUUAUUGGGCGUAAAGGGCGCGUAGGCGGCUUUGCAAGUGACGGGUGAAAGCCCUCGGCUUAACCGAGGAACUGCCUGUCAGACUGUAAGGCUUGAGACCGGGAGAGGUGAGUGGAAUUCCCAGUGUAGCGGUGAAAUGCGUAGAUAUCAGGAGGAACACCAAUAGCGAAGGCAGCUCGCUGGGACGGUACUGACGCUGAGGCGCGAAAGCGUGGGGAGCGAACAGG